GCUAGUUGGGGGACGAGGUCAAGUGGCAUAGGCUGGAUUUGAAUUCAGCUUUGUCAAUUAAUAUUAUGUUAUUUAAAUGAUUAAUGAUAUCACUUCAUCUGUGAUUGCCCUAAUUAUUCUCUUUAAGAGAGAUAUUUGUACUCUCUCGGAGAGUUUUAAUCCUUAAACCUAGUUAUCACAGAUACACCUACCGCCACCAUCUUCCUUUCAACCAUCCAUCGCCGAUAUCACUAUCUUACACCAUCCACCUUCGUCGCCUCCUGUCUCUAAUCACCACCUACUGCCAUUAUCCCCUCCCCUUCAAUCACCAAAAACGGUCACCAUCAUCAUCAACCAUCAUCCACCACCACCCUUAAUCAUCAAUCAUCA
This 369-nucleotide long non-coding RNA is filed under the name Linum usitatissimum (flax). RNAcentral's name for it is "long non-coding RNA (LUSI_LNC005710)". Lineage: Eukaryota; Viridiplantae; Streptophyta; Magnoliopsida; Malpighiales; Linaceae. The record is from RNAcentral.